GCCUCAGUAACGGCGAGUGAAGCGGCAAGAGCUCAAAUUUGAAAGCUGGCCCCCUCGGGGUCCGCAUUGUAAUUUGCAGAGGAUGCUUCGGGAGUGGCCCCCAUCUAAGUGCUCUGGAACGGGCCGUCAUAGAGGGUGAGAAUCCCGUAUGGGAUGGGGUGUCCGCGACCAUGUGAAGCUCCUUCGACGAGUCGAGUUGUUUGGGAAUGCAGCUCUAAAUGGGUGGUAAAUUUCAUCUAAAGCUAAAUAUUGGCCGGAGACCGAUAGCGCACAAGUAGAGUGAUCGAAAGAUGAAAAGCACUUUGAAAAGAGAGUUAAAAAGCACGUGAAAUUGUUGAAAGGGAAGCGCUUGCGACCAGACUCGCCUACGGGGUUCAGCCGGUAUUCGUACCGGUGUACUUCCCCGUGGGCGGGCCAGCGUCGGUUUGGGCGGCCGGUCAAAGGCCCUCGGAAUGUAACGCCUCUCGGGGCGUCUUAUAGCCGAGGGUGCCAUGCGGCCAGCCCGGACCGAGGAACGCGCUUCGGCACGGACGCUGGCAUAAUGGUCGUAAGCGACCCGUCUUGAAACACGGACCAAGGAGUCUAACAUCUACGCGAGUGUUCGGGUGUCAAACCCGUGCGCGCAGUGAAAGCGAACGGAGGUGGGAACCCUCACGGGUGCACCAUCGACCGAUCCUGAUGUCUUCGGAUGGAUUUGAGUAAGAGCGUAGCUGUUGGGACCCGAAAGAUGGUGAACUAUGCCUGAAUAGGGCGAAGCCAGAGGAAACUCUGGUGGAGGCUCGCAGCGGUUCUGACGUGCAAAUCGAUCGUCAAAUUUGGGUAUAGGGGCGAAAGACUAAUCGAACCAUCUAGUAGCUGGUUC
Molecule: ribosomal RNA, 862 nt
Filed under: Penicillium sp.
Lineage: Eukaryota; Fungi; Ascomycota; Eurotiomycetes; Eurotiales; Aspergillaceae
Description: partial large subunit ribosomal RNA
Rfam family: Eukaryotic large subunit ribosomal RNA
Source: RNAcentral